RNAcentral lists this ribosomal RNA (433 nucleotides) under uncultured bacterium. RNAcentral describes it as "partial 16S ribosomal RNA". It matches the Rfam family "Bacterial small subunit ribosomal RNA", at positions 29 to 507 of the family's 1533-position model. The record is from RNAcentral.
AACGAACGCUGGCGGCAUGCCUAACACAUGCAAGUCGAACGAGACCUUCGGGUCUAGUGGCGCACGGGUGCGUAACGCGUGGGAACCUGCCCUUAGGUUCGGAAUAACUCCCCGAAAGGGGUGCUAAUACCGGAUAAUGUCUUCGGACCAAAGAUUUAUCGCCUUUGGAUGGGCCCGCGUUGGAUUAGCUAGUUGGUAGGGUAAAAGCCUACCAAGGCGACGAUCCAUAGCUGGUCUGAGAGGAUGAUCAGCCACACUGGGACUGAGACACGGCCCCGAAUUCUUCGGGAGGGAGGAGGGGGGAAUAUUGGAAAAUGGGCGAAAGCCUGAUCCAGCAAUGCCGCGUGAGUGAUGAAGGCCUUAGGGUUGUAAAGCUCUUUUACCCGGGAUGAUAAUGACAGUACCGGGAGAAUAAGCUCCGGCUAACUCCGUG